This 69-nucleotide microRNA precursor is filed under the name Tribolium castaneum (red flour beetle). RNAcentral's name for it is "microRNA tca-mir-11634 precursor". Lineage: Eukaryota; Metazoa; Arthropoda; Insecta; Coleoptera; Tenebrionidae. The record is from miRBase by way of RNAcentral.
AUUGGGAGUUCAGGGCGCGGCUGUGACCUGCAGCCACUCGGAGAGGCCGCGCCCCGCACUCGCGAGGUC